GGAGGUAGUGACAAUAAAUCACAAUGCGGGACUAUUCGUCUUGCAAUUGGAUUGAGAACAAUGUACAACUCUUAUCGAUAAGCCAUUGGAGGGCAAGUCUGGUGCCAGCAGCCGCGGUAAUUCCAGCUCCAAUAGCGUAUAUUAACGUUGUUGCAGUUAAAAAGCUCGUAGUUGAAGUGUGGGUGGUGCCAUCUGUGAAGCUUCGGCUUCUAAGAUGAUCACUACCCCCUUCCAGUAUCCAGUAGUGGGUAUUCAGUUACUUACUAUUGUGUGUUGGUCGUUUACUGUGAGAAAAUUAGAGUGUUCAAAGCAGGCGUUUGCUUGAAUAGAUUAGCAUGGAAUAAUAAUUGAAGGCAUUCGUGUUCGAUUUGAUUGGUUUGUUCAUGGAAGCAAGGUUAAAAGGAACAGUUGGGGGUAUUCAUAUUCACUAGUUAGAGGUGAAAUUCUCGGAUUUAUGGAAGAUGAACAAGUGCGAAAGCA
Molecule: ribosomal RNA, 480 nt
Filed under: Blastocystis sp. PR-1
Lineage: Eukaryota; Bigyra; Opalinata; Blastocystidae
Description: bacterial SSU rRNA
Rfam family: Eukaryotic small subunit ribosomal RNA
Source: RNAcentral